CCCUCAGAGAUCCUCCCAACACUUCACUGGGAUGUUUGUUCAAGAUUUCCUAUUGAAGUGUUUGGGGGGACUCCAAGUGC
Molecule: non-coding RNA, 80 nt
Filed under: Cynara cardunculus (cardoon)
Lineage: Eukaryota; Viridiplantae; Streptophyta; Magnoliopsida; Asterales; Asteraceae
Also listed under: 1 other name
Gene: cca-MIR395a
Source: miRBase by way of RNAcentral